RNAcentral lists this ribosomal RNA (160 nucleotides) under uncultured Escherichia sp. RNAcentral's name for it is "partial 16S ribosomal RNA". It matches the Rfam family "Bacterial small subunit ribosomal RNA", at positions 370 to 523 of the family's 1533-position model. Lineage: Bacteria; Pseudomonadati; Pseudomonadota; Gammaproteobacteria; Enterobacterales; Enterobacteriaceae. The record is from RNAcentral.
CAUGAACGCAGCCUGAUGCAGCCAUGCCGCGUGUAUGAAGAAGGCCUUCGGGUUGUAAAGUACUUUCAGCGGGGAGGAAGGGAGUAAAGUUAAUACCUUUGCUCAUUGACGUUACCCGCAGAAGAAGCACCGGCUAACUCCGUGCCAGCAGCCGCGGUAA